Molecule: transfer RNA, 86 nt
Filed under: Candidatus Saccharimonadota bacterium
Lineage: Bacteria; Candidatus Saccharimonadota
Also listed under: 1 other name
Description: tRNA-Ser
Rfam family: tRNA
About the family: Transfer RNA (tRNA) molecules are approximately 80 nucleotides in length. Their secondary structure includes four short double-helical elements and three loops (D, anti-codon, and T loops).
Source: RNAcentral
GGAAGGGUGGCCGAGUGGUUGAUGGCACUGGUCUUGAAAACCAGCAGAUUAACGUCUCGCAGGUUCGAAUCCUGUCCCUUCCGCCA